RNAcentral lists this long non-coding RNA (467 nucleotides) under Haliotis rufescens (red abalone). Its description in RNAcentral is "uncharacterized LOC125383461". Lineage: Eukaryota; Metazoa; Mollusca; Gastropoda; Lepetellida; Haliotidae. The record is from RNAcentral.
AACACUGACCUGACUCGUGGCCUUCUGAAUACAUCCCAAGAUGCGUUUGUUCCUUGUCCUCCUGCUUGUGGCCAUAGUCUCCAUCCCUCAGUCUGAUGCCUGGGGACGACGGAGACGACGGUUCGUUAGAUGGCGCACAGUUGGCAGACUAGCAUUGACUGGGGCCAGGCUGUUGUUGGACAAACGUAAUGUGGAUAACCUUGAUACAAACAUGGACGGGGCAAUUGAUCUCUCAGAAGCUGAGACGCUAAUGGACAGACGAUCGGCCUUGGAACUCCUUUCGUUCGCUGAUGAAAAUGAUGACUCAAGCGUGAGUUUGGAAGAGUUCGCAAGGAGCAUCAACAACUUGGAGCAGUGAGUCAAAUAGCACUCCAUUGAAGAGGCACUGUGAAGACGAUCUCAAGGUUGUUGUCCUGAAUAGUGUUUAUACAAGAAAAUGGCUUCAAUAAAUCAUUUUUUCAAUCGUG